RNAcentral lists this ribosomal RNA (612 nucleotides) under uncultured bacterium. RNAcentral's name for it is "bacterial SSU rRNA". The stretch from base 1 to 519 matches the Rfam family "Bacterial small subunit ribosomal RNA", at positions 338 to 873 of the family's 1533-position model. The record is from RNAcentral.
CCUACGGGAGGCAGCAGUGGGGAAUCUUGCGCAAUGGGCGAAAGCCUGACGCAGCCAUGCCGCGUGAAUGAUGAAGGUCUUAGGAUUGUAAAAUUCUUUCACCGGGGACGAUAAUGACGGUACCCGGAGAAGAAGCCCCGGCUAACUUCGUGCCAGCAGCCGCGGUAAUACGAAGGGGGCUAGCGUUGCUCGGAAUUACUGGGCGUAAAGGGAGCGUAGGCGGAUAGUUUAGUCAGAGGUGAAAGCCCAGGGCUCAACCUUGGAAUUGCCUUUGAUACUGGCUAUCUUGAGUACGGAAGAGGUAUGUGGAACUCCGAGUGUAGAGGUGAAAUUCGUAGAUAUUCGGAAGAACACCAGUGGCGAAGGCGACAUACUGGUCCGUUAACUGACGCUGAGGCUCGAAAGCGUGGGGAGCAAACAGGAUUAGAUACCCUGGUAGUCCACGCUGUAAACGAUGAGUGCUAGUUGUCGGCAUGCAUGNAUGUGGUGACGCAGCUAACGACAUAAGUACACUCCGCCGUCGGGGAGGUACGGUCGGCGAAGAAGUUAAAACUAACAAAGAAAGUUAGUAGGCGUUGAGACGUUGCCGACGGACGACACGAGGGGAGGAGG